RNAcentral lists this ribosomal RNA (253 nucleotides) under uncultured bacterium. RNAcentral describes it as "partial 16S ribosomal RNA". It matches the Rfam family "Bacterial small subunit ribosomal RNA", at positions 524 to 776 of the family's 1533-position model. The record is from RNAcentral.
UACGUAGGGUGCAAGCGUUAAUCGGAAUUACUGGGCGUAAAGCGUGCGCAGGCGGUUUUGUAAGUCUGUCGUGAAAUCCCCGGGCUCAACCUGGGAAUUGCGAUGGAGACUGCAAGGCUAGAAUCUGGCAGAGGGGGGUAGAAUUCCACGUGUAGCAGUGAAAUGCGUAGAGAUGUGGAGGAACACCGAUGGCGAAGGCAGCCCCCUGGGUCAAGAUUGACGCUUAUGCACGAAAGCGUGGGGAGCAAACAGG